This 253-nucleotide ribosomal RNA is filed under the name uncultured bacterium. RNAcentral's name for it is "partial 16S ribosomal RNA". It matches the Rfam family "Bacterial small subunit ribosomal RNA", at positions 524 to 776 of the family's 1533-position model. The record is from RNAcentral.
UACGGAGGGUGCAAGCGUUAACCGGAAUCACUGGGUGUAAAGGGUGCGUAGGCGGCGUUGUAAGUCAGGGGUGAAAGCCCCUAGCUUAACCGCGGAACUGCCUUUGAUACUGCAGAGCUUGAAAGAGGUUGAGGUCGGCGGAACGUGACCUGUAGCGGUGAAAUGCAUAGAUAUGUCACAGAACACCAAUUGCGAAGGCAACUGCCUGUGCCUACAUUGACGCUGAGGCACGAAAGCGUGGGGAGCGAACAGG